UACGUAGGGGGCAAGCGUUAUCCGGAAUUAUUGGGCGUAAAGCGCGCGCAGGCGGUUGAUUAAGUCAGAUGUGAAAGGCUACGGCUCAACCGUAGAGUUGCAUUUGAAACUGGUUAACUUGAGUGCAGGAGAGGUAAGUGGAAUUCCCGGUGUAGCGGUGGAAUGCGUAGAGAUCGGGAGGAACACCAGUGGCGAAGGCGGCUUACUGGCCUGCAACUGACGCUGAGGCGCGAAAGCGUGGGGAGCGAACAGG
RNAcentral lists this ribosomal RNA (253 nucleotides) under uncultured bacterium. RNAcentral's name for it is "partial 16S ribosomal RNA". It matches the Rfam family "Bacterial small subunit ribosomal RNA", at positions 524 to 776 of the family's 1533-position model. The record is from RNAcentral.